CUUCCUUCCUAAUUCCAGACAGCAACUCUCCUUCCGUUGUCGCAUCAAGAAAAGUUCGCCGGUGACUAGGCUUUUCCUUCUUCUUCUCCUCCUCCUUCUCGCCUGACGCUGAAGCGAUAGCUUCUUUGUCCUCCUUAACGAGCUGAGACAUUGCAUUAGCGUUUAUAGAAGAGAUCAAGUAAGGACAAAGGGACCUUCGCGCACUCGAUCUGAGAGCGAGCGAACGAGAGGGAGGGACCAAACAGAGCUUCGAAGACAAGAAAGGAAAGGAAAGGGAAACCCUAGGCGAUGGUAUGCUACAGAGAAAUGUGGGAGGAAUAGCGGAAAGGAUCA
Molecule: unclassified non-coding RNA, 333 nt
Filed under: Hevea brasiliensis (rubber tree)
Lineage: Eukaryota; Viridiplantae; Streptophyta; Magnoliopsida; Malpighiales; Euphorbiaceae
Source: RNAcentral